AACUAUGCAUAGUGAAGCAGUAUAUUUGGAGUAGGAAUCUGAUUGAUCUCUCUGGAAUAAAACAAGAUAAACAAACAAAAUGGAC
Molecule: small nucleolar RNA, 85 nt
Filed under: Vulpes vulpes (red fox)
Lineage: Eukaryota; Metazoa; Chordata; Mammalia; Carnivora; Canidae
Description: Small nucleolar RNA Me28S-Am2634 (ENSVVUG00000018068.1)
Source: RNAcentral